This 468-nucleotide ribosomal RNA is filed under the name uncultured bacterium. RNAcentral describes it as "partial 16S ribosomal RNA". It matches the Rfam family "Bacterial small subunit ribosomal RNA", at positions 28 to 507 of the family's 1533-position model. The record is from RNAcentral.
GACGAACGCUGGCGGCGUGCUUAACACAUGCAAGUCGAACGGAAAGGCCCUGCUUUUGUGGGGUGCUCGAGUGGCGAACGGGUGAGUAACACGUGAGUAACCUGCCCUUGACUUUGGGAUAACUUCAGGAAACUGGGGCUAAUACCGGAUAGGAGCUCCUGCUGCAUGGUGGGGGUUGGAAAGUUUCGGCGGUUGGGGGUCGACUCGCGGCUUAUCAGCUUGUUGGUGGGGUAGUUGCUUACCAAGGCUUCGACGGGUAGCCGGCCUGAGAGGGUGACCGGCCACAUUGGGACUGAGAUACGGACCAGACUCCUACGGGAGGCAGCAGUGGGGAAUAUGGCACAAUGGGCGGAAGCCUGAGGCAGCAACGCCGCGUGCGGGAUGACGGCCUUCGGGUUGUAAACCGCUUUCGCCUGUGACGAAGCGUGAGUGACGGUAAUGGGUAAAGAAGCACCGGCUAACUACGUG